RNAcentral lists this ribosomal RNA (253 nucleotides) under uncultured bacterium. RNAcentral describes it as "partial 16S ribosomal RNA". It matches the Rfam family "Bacterial small subunit ribosomal RNA", at positions 524 to 776 of the family's 1533-position model. The record is from RNAcentral.
GACGAACCGAGCGAACGUUGUUCGGAAUCACUGGGCUUAAAGGGCGCGCAGGCGGCUUACCAAGUCAGGGGUGAAAUUUUGCGGCUUAACCGUAACAGUGCCUUUGAUACUGGUAGGCUCGAGGGAGACAGGGGUCCGCGGAACUUCUGGUGGAGCGGUGAAAUGCGUUGAUAUCAGAAGGAACGCCGGUGGCGAAAGCGGCGGACUGGAUCUUUUCUGACGCUGAGGCGCGAAAGCUAGGGGAGCAAACGGG